AAAUGUUAGGGGAUUUUCAAAAAGGUGAUUUCCAGGCUUGGAAAAAAAAUCAUGGAAAUGUAAAGCUUUUUGUGGUUUAAACUGUUUGGGAACGUAUGUUACAUAGCUGGUUUCUGCUUGGUUGACCUGCCACCGUCAAAAAAACAGUUUAACUAGCUGCUGAUCCAAGAAGGUCCAUAAGUUUUGACGGUGUGGGGCUUCCAGCACCAUCUUGUGACUCCAACACGAUGACAUUGGGGUCGCUCACUGUUACCGCACCAUACGAAGAAUCAAACGGCACGUCUUCUUCCUUCAUUCUCUUGUAGGAUAUGUUUGUAUCAUCUUCAGCAUCCUCCAUGAGGUCCUGUUUAUGCAAUACCUCUUUCCUGUACAUGCGGUAAGUCAGAAUGAAGAUGCCAGCCUCUGCUGCCUGGAAGAGCGCGUACAGCAGAGGAAACAUGUACAUGCCUCCCAUCAGCUGUGGAGGGAACACCAGCUUCAGGAUGGCCGUGCAGAGCUGUACGUUCUGACAGCCCGUCUCUAAAGACACAGUCCUCCGACUGUUGGGGGGGAGAUCAAAGAGUGUUGCAAGGCCGUAUCCUGCAGCAAAGCCAGCCAUGGGCAUGAGUACGGCCACCAGGUAUACGGAGGCAGGGAUGGUGGCCAGUAGCUCCGGGCCCAGCAUAGUUCCAGUCAUGAUGAAGAGCAUCAGCAGAGUGACCAGGAUAGACCACAGAGACACCUGGAGCAGAAACACUGCCCUGCCCUCCCCUCCCUUCCCGCAUCUCUCUAUCUCACAGUCGCACUGUGCCCUUACCAGGCUGUUCUUAGAUAAGCUCAACUGAAAGGAGGAACCCAUGCGCGCAUGUGACGCCACCUCGCCCUGGGCACUUCAGUCUCCUUUUAAUGGCCAGAGAUGUUGGACAUGAAGGCGACAGAAGCAACCCAUCACAACCAGUGAUAUUUCAGAGAUGACAGCAGAAAUCUAAAUCAUUUUUUCUUUGUGAUGAAUCUCCACUUAAUGACUCCUCUAAAUCAAAUCAACUUAUUCUGAUAUUUUAGGUUCCUUUUCCUAGUAGUAAACAUGCACUGCUUUGAAUGAGGUUUAGACAGAUAAGGUUUUUGCAUUGUCACCUUG
Molecule: long non-coding RNA, 1117 nt
Organism: Cyprinus carpio (common carp)
Lineage: Eukaryota; Metazoa; Chordata; Actinopteri; Cypriniformes; Cyprinidae
Source: RefSeq, a predicted model, not a curated record